RNAcentral lists this ribosomal RNA (254 nucleotides) under uncultured bacterium. RNAcentral's name for it is "partial 16S ribosomal RNA". It matches the Rfam family "Bacterial small subunit ribosomal RNA", at positions 524 to 776 of the family's 1533-position model. The record is from RNAcentral.
UACAGAGGUCUCAAGCGUUGUCCGGAUUUAUUGGGCGUAAAGAGCUCGUAGGCGGUUUGGCAAGUCGGGUGUGAAAACUCCGGGCUCAACUCGGAGACGCCACUCGAUACUGCCAUGACUCGAGUCCGGUAGGGGAGUGCGGAAUUCCUGGUGUAGCGGUGAAAUGCGCAGAUAUCAGGAGGAACACCGGUGGCGAAGGCGGCACUCUGGGCCGGUACUGACGCUGAGGAGCGAAAGCGUGGGGAGCGAACAGG